This is a long non-coding RNA of Nerophis ophidion (straightnose pipefish), 1511 nucleotides long. RefSeq lists it as uncharacterized. Lineage: Eukaryota; Metazoa; Chordata; Actinopteri; Syngnathiformes; Syngnathidae. The transcript is spliced from 6 exons. The record is from RefSeq and is a predicted model, not a curated record.
CAAAACUAACCGAGCAUAACUAAACAAAACAUGAUCCGGACCACGGAUCGUGGCACACUUAUGUUCAAAGGGGUGACUCUACACUAAACACAGUAUUUCCAUAGCUAAUAUUACUUGCUAAUACUUACCUGUAGGACCUGUUGAGUAAAGUUAACAUGUAUUUGAGUACUUACCAUGAAUAUGUAGACAAAGUAACUGAUAUAAUACUGAGUAUGGGGAGGAUUGAAUGCAGUGCAAAUAUUGCAAAUUGGAAAGCUCCAAUCAAGAGAUAUCUGAAAAAUGUCAUGGCAUCACCAGCAAAGACCUCCUGAAGACUUUCAAUGAGUGCCUUGAGAAUUAUGUGCCUCGCCUGCUCAGACUGUACCGGGCUAGAAAGGAAGCUAUUGGUCAGCAAAUAGAAGACUUCCUGGAUAAGCUUGAUGAACAAACAUCAGACAUUGUGUCUCACCGAAAGAUGACAGCACUGAGAUGCCUCCCCGUUUUUGUCUGGGACGACACAACUAAGUGUGGAGAGACGCAGCCGACGGGCCGACAGCGGGCGGACAGAGGCGUUCUGGACCAAGAUGAAGGCCAGGAGGCGGGGCAUGCGGCGUGACGCACGCGGAGCGGCAGGAGGACGGCCAUCGGAGUCAGGUGCGUAGGACACACAUCUGCUCACAAUCUGCGCAUCUGCUCCUAGACUUUAAGAGAGGCGAAGGGGGCACGAUUGCGAGAGGGAAGACAGGAAAGGAAAGGAAACCAUGGCAGCCCGACCACGAGCCCGACGACAGAGAGCAGUCCGCAACGAGUCCCCGCCACAGACGCAGCAGGCGAACACCAAAGGGUGCAGAGCGACCAGGAAGAGGUGCCAGCGCACUAGAAAUGGGUGCGCCCGACUGGCCCGAAGAAAGGUUGUUUGAACCAAUAAAUGGGAAUCAAACCUGCUACGAUGCGUCGUGUGUUCAAUGUCACAGCAACCCACACGAGGACGGCUGGGAGUUUGUCACAUACGUUUUUCCUGCAGCAUUUGGAAAGUGACCCUGAAGAAAGAGUGCUCAGAGGCAUGUCUGUUGGCAUCCUUACAAUCCUUGAAGAAGAUGAUCCUGCUGUAUCACCCAACUUACGGGACUGGGCUGUUGUGUUGGAAGGUUCCAUGGUGCUACAUGACCUGCCAGACCUCGCUUGGCUCUCAGUGCGGCCCUGCGAUGAGGUGGCGACUUGUCCAGAGUGUACCCUGCCUGGCGCCCGAUUGUAGCUGAGAUAGGCGCCAGCGCCCCCCGUGACUCCAAAAGGGAAUAAGUGGUAGAAAAUGGAUGGAUGGAUGGGCUCUCAGUGCUCUCAGCGGACAAGGUCUCUGAAAACAAAGCUUUUGCUGUGACUCUUAAUGUGGAAGCCAACCUAUGUUUUCUGCCUGUUCUAGUGCAUUGUGGUUGGUGCUCAUAUAAAACUUCACGGCCAGUGAUUUAAAACAUGCAAGGCCACACGGAAAACAAUUAUAUUUAUUUUCAAAAUGUAUUUACAAUUAAGUGAGA